AUACGUAGGUGGCAAGCGUUGUCCGGAAUUAUUGGGCGUAAAGCGCGCGCAGGUGGUUCCUUAAGUCUGAUGUGAAAGCCCCCGGCUCGACCGGGGAGGGUCAUUGGAAACUGGGGACCUUGAGUGCAGAAGAGGAUAGUGGAAUUCCAAGUGUAGCGGUGAAAUGCGUAGAGAUUUGGAGGAACACCAGUGGCGAAGGCGACUGUCUGGUCUGUAACUGACACUGAGGCGCGAAAGCGUGGGGAGCAAACAGGAUUAGAUACCCUGGUAGUCCACGCCGUAAACGAUGAGUGCUAAGUGUUGGGGGGUUUCCGCCCCUCAGUGCUGCAGCUAACGCAUUAAGCACUCCGCCUGGGGAGUACGGUCGCAAGACUGAAACUCAAAUGAAUUGACGGGG
This 397-nucleotide ribosomal RNA is filed under the name uncultured bacterium. RNAcentral's name for it is "partial 16S ribosomal RNA". It matches the Rfam family "Bacterial small subunit ribosomal RNA", at positions 523 to 918 of the family's 1533-position model. The record is from RNAcentral.